This 730-nucleotide long non-coding RNA is filed under the name Anser cygnoides (Swan goose). Its description in RNAcentral is "lncRNA (ENSACDG00005011184.1)". Lineage: Eukaryota; Metazoa; Chordata; Aves; Anseriformes; Anatidae. The record is from RNAcentral.
AUGAAACCAGCUACAGCUAGGCACUGUGCAAGCAAGUGUUCUGUUUCUUCGGCAGCUCUGUCAAAUGUUGGUGUGCUUCCUCCCUCCCCUGGAGGACCUGGCUUCAGUCUCUCACAAGCAGCAGUUGCCAGCUUCUUCAGCUGGUUUCAAGGCCUGAUGACAUUGACUAAUGGAGAACAGGGAAGCAAUGUCCAAACAGGCUGUACCACCCAGACCACGCUGAUCAAGGAAAAAAAAAUGUGUGAGAAACAGCCCUACAGAUACCAAGGAAGUGACUCAAUGAGAAGUGAACAUCUGCUGGAUAACUUUGCGCUACAUUAUGUAGCUUUACAAGAAGAGAAGAUGUACUGCAGAAAGACUGAUUGGAUCGGGAUUUUAGAGGGAACCAAUCUAUGGAGGGGUCAGGGGAAGAUGUUUUUUCCUAUUUGUUCACUAUCCCUUUCUUCUCUACAGAUCCUCUGACUUGAAUGGUAUUAGUACACUGGGAAAGUGUACACAGUUUAUAUCUGAAUAACCCAUAUGGUCCUCUGACUUUCAUUUUGAUGCAGAUGAAGGAGAGCUCUGCCUGUUGACAACCUCCAGUCUUGUAUGCAUGUACAGUCUUUUCCAUAGAUUAAUGAGAAUAAUAUGCAUAAAGUCUUCAUAUUUAUGUAUUUCUUUGUCAUCAUAACCAUUUCCCCACAGCAUAAAAAUAAGGAAGUUUAUUUGCAAAGGUAAAACCUCUAUGUUC